ACGAUGAAGCUUCUAGCUUGCUAGAAGUGGAUUAGUGGCGCACGGGUGAGUAAGGUAUAGUUAAUCUGCCCUACACAAGAGGACAACAGUUGGAAACGACUGCUAAUACUCUAUACUCCUGCUUAACACAAGUUGAGUAGGGAAAGUUUUUCGGUGUAGGAUGAGACUAUAUAGUAUCAGCUAGUUGGUGAGGUAAUGGCUCACCAAGGCUAUGACGCUUAACUGGUCUGAGAGGAUGAUCAGUCACACUGGAACUGAGACACGGUCCAGACUCCUACGGGAGGCAGCAGUAGGGAAUAUUGCGCAAUGGGGGAAACCCUGACGCAGCAACGCCGCGUGGAGGAUGACACUUUUCGGAGCGUAAACUCCUUUUCUUAGGGAAGAAUUCUGACGGUACCUAAGGAAUAAGCACCGGCUAACUCCGUGCCAGCAGCCGCGGUAAUACGGAGGGUGCAAGCGUUACUCGGAAUCACUGGGCGUAAAGGGCGCGUAGGCGGAUUAUCAAGUCUCUUGUGAAAUCUAAUGGCUUAACCAUUAAACUGCUUGGGAAACUGAUAGUCUAGAGUGAGGGAGAGGCAGAUGGAAUUGGUGGUGUAGGGGUAAAAUCCGUAGAUAUCACCAAGAAUACCCAUUGCGAAGGCGAUCUGCUGGAACUCAACUGACGCUAAGGCGCGAAAGCGUGGGGAGCAAACAGGAUUAGAUACCCUGGUAGUCCACGCCCUAAACGAUGUACACUAGUUGUUGGGGUGCUAGUCAUCUCAGUAAUGCAGCUAACGCAUUAAGUGUACCGCCUGGGGAGUACGGUCGCAAGAUUAAAACUCAAAGGAAUAGACGGGGACCCGCACAAGCGGUGGAGCAUGUGGUUUAAUUCGAGGAUACGCGAAGAACCUUACCUGGGCUUGAUAUCCUAAGAACCUUUUAGAGAUAAGAGGGUGCUAGCUUGCUAGAACUUAGAGACAGGUGCUGCACGGCUGUCGUCAGCUCGUGUCGUGAGAUGUUGGGUUAAGUCCCGCAACGAGCGCAACCCACGUAUUUAGUUGCUAACGGUUCGGCCGAGCACUCUAAAUAGACUGCCUUCGUAAGGAGGAGGAAGGUGUGGACGACGUCAAGUCAUCAUGGCCCUUAUGCCCAGGGCGACACACGUGCUACAAUGGCAUAUACAAUGAGACGCAAUACCGCGAGGUGGAGCAAAUCUAUAAAAUAUGUCCCAGUUCGGAUUGUUCUCUGCAACUCGAGAGCAUGAAGCCGGAAUCGCUAGUAAUCGUAGAUCAGCCAUGCUACGGUGAAUACGUUCCCGGGUCUUGUACUCACCGCCCGUCACACCAUGGGAGUUGA
RNAcentral lists this ribosomal RNA (1335 nucleotides) under Campylobacter coli. RNAcentral describes it as "bacterial SSU rRNA". It matches the Rfam family "Bacterial small subunit ribosomal RNA", at positions 66 to 1414 of the family's 1533-position model. Lineage: Bacteria; Pseudomonadati; Campylobacterota; Epsilonproteobacteria; Campylobacterales; Campylobacteraceae. The record is from RNAcentral.